CGCGGGAUGGAGCAGUCUGGUAGCUCGUUGGGCUCAUAACCCAAAGGUCGCAAGUUCAAAUCUUGCUCCCGCUACAA
Molecule: transfer RNA, 77 nt
Filed under: Fidelibacterota bacterium
Lineage: Bacteria; Pseudomonadati; Fidelibacterota
Description: tRNA-Met
Rfam family: tRNA
About the family: Transfer RNA (tRNA) molecules are approximately 80 nucleotides in length.
Source: RNAcentral